RNAcentral lists this ribosomal RNA (483 nucleotides) under uncultured bacterium. RNAcentral's name for it is "partial 16S ribosomal RNA". It matches the Rfam family "Bacterial small subunit ribosomal RNA", at positions 30 to 506 of the family's 1533-position model. The record is from RNAcentral.
AUUGAACGCUGGCGGCAGGCCUAACACAUGCAAGUCGAGCGGAUGAAGGGAGCUUGCUCCUGGAUUCAGCGGCGGACGGGUGAGUAAUGCCUAGGAAUCUGCCUGGUAGUGGGGGAUAACGUCCGGAAACGGGCGCUAAUACCGCAUACGUCCUGAGGGAGAAAGUGGGGGACCUUCGGACCUCACGCUAUCAGAUGAGCCAAGGUCGGAUUAGCUAGUUGGUGGGGUAAAGGCCUACCAAGGCGACGAUCCGUAACUGGUCUGAGAGGAUGAUCAGUCACCCUGGACUGGAGACACGGUCCAGACCCCUAGGGGAGGCAGGAGGGGGGAAUUUUGGACAAGGGGCGAAAGCCUGUUCCAGCCAUGCCGCGGGUGUGAAGAAGGUCUUCGGAUUGUAAAGCACUUUAAGUUGGGAGGAAGGGCAGUAAGUUAAUACCUGGCUGUUUUGACGUUACCAACAGAAUAAGCACGGGCUACCUUCGU